CACCGCGGUUAUACGAGCGACCCAAGUUGAUAACCCCCGGCGUAAAGCGUGGUUAAGGAACUAUUAAACUAAGGCCGAAUACCCUCAGAGCUGUUAUACGCACACCGAGGACACGAAGAACCACCACAAAAGUGGCUUUAACCCUCCCCGACCCCACGAAAGCUAAGAAA
Molecule: ribosomal RNA, 170 nt
Filed under: Ophidiiformes sp. RGIP_6980
Lineage: Eukaryota; Metazoa; Chordata; Actinopteri; Ophidiiformes
Description: partial small subunit ribosomal RNA
Source: RNAcentral